AACCUGCGGAAGGAUCAUUACCGAGAGAGGGGCCCUGCGCUCCCGGGGGCUCCGGCCCCCAACUCUUCACCCGUUGCGUACCUACCUUUGUUGCUUUGGCGGGCUUCGGGGUACCCCCGGGGUUGGCUCCAGAGUCGGCGAGCGCCCGCCAGAGACCCAUACAGUUCUAUUAUCAGUGACGUCCGAGUAAAACAAAUAAUCAAAACUUUCAACAACGGAUCUCUUGGUUCCAGCAUCGAUGAAGAACGCAGCGAAAUGCGAUAAGUAAUGUGAAUUGCAGAAUUCAGUGAAUCAUCGAAUCUUUGAACGCACAUUGCGCCCCUCGGUAUUCCGGGGGGCAUGCCUGUUCGAGCGUCAUUACACCCCUCAAGCGAAGCUUGGUAUUGGGCUAUCGCCCCCGCGGCGUGCCCGAAAAGCAGUGGCGGUCCGGUGUGACUUGAAGCGUAGUAAAUUUUCAUCCCGCUUGUAGAGUUCUCCCCGCGGCCGGCCAGACAACCCCCAUCAUUUUCAACCAUUGACCUCGGAUCAGGUAGGGAUACCCGCUGAACUUAA
This 552-nucleotide ribosomal RNA is filed under the name Menegazzia elongata. RNAcentral's name for it is "eukaryotic LSU rRNA". The stretch from base 204 to 357 matches the Rfam family "5.8S ribosomal RNA". Lineage: Eukaryota; Fungi; Ascomycota; Lecanoromycetes; Lecanorales; Parmeliaceae. The record is from RNAcentral.